GUGGGGAAUAUUGGGCAAUGGGCGCAAGCCUGACCCAGCAACGCCGCGUGAAGGAAGAAGGCUUUCGGGUUGUAAACUUCUUUUGCCAGGGACGAAACAAAUGACGGUACCUGGUGAAUAAGCCACGGCUAACUACGUGCCAGCAGCCGCGGUAAUACGUAGGUGGCGAGCGUUAUCCGGAUUUAUUGGGUGUAAAGGGCGUGUAGGCGGGACAGCAAGUCAGAUGUGAAAACCAGAGGCUCAACCUCUGGCCUGCAUUUGAAACUGUUGUUCUUGAGUGUCGGAGAGGUAAUCGGAAUUCCGUGUGUAGCGGUGAAAUGCGUAGAUAUACGGAGGAACACCAGUGGCGAAGGCGGAUUACUGGACGAUAACUGACGCUGAGGCGCGAAAGCGUGGGGAGCAAACAGGAUUAGAUACCCGUGUAGUCC
Molecule: ribosomal RNA, 428 nt
Filed under: uncultured bacterium
Lineage: Bacteria
Description: partial 16S ribosomal RNA
Rfam family: Bacterial small subunit ribosomal RNA
Source: RNAcentral